GUAGGUGGCAAGCGUUGUCCGGAAUUAUUGGGCGUAAAGCGCGCGCAGGCGGUCCUUUAAGUCUGAUGUGAAAGCCCACGGCUCAACUGUGGAGGGUCAUUGGAAACUGGGGGACUUGAGUACAGAAGAGGAAAGCGGAAUUCCAAGUGUAGCGGUGAAAUGCGUAGAGAUUUGGAGGAACACCAGUGGCGAAGGCGGCUUUCUGGUCUGUAACUGACGCUGAGGCGCGAAAGCGUGGGGAGCAAACAGGAUUAGAUACCCUGGUAGUCCACGCCGUAAACGAUGAGUGCUAAGUGCUAGGGGGUUUCCGCCCCUUAGUGCUGCAGCUAACGCAUUAAGCACUCCGCCUGGGAGUACGGCCGCAAGGCUG
This 370-nucleotide ribosomal RNA is filed under the name uncultured organism. Its description in RNAcentral is "partial 16S ribosomal RNA". It matches the Rfam family "Bacterial small subunit ribosomal RNA", at positions 527 to 896 of the family's 1533-position model. The record is from RNAcentral.